GACGAACGCUGGCGGCGUGCUUAACACAUGCAAGUCGAGCGGUAAGGCCUUUCGGGGUACACGAGCGGCGAACGGGUGAGUAACACGUGGGUGAUCUGCCCUGCACUUCGGGAUAAGCCUGGGAAACUGGGUCUAAUACCGGAUAUGACCUCCUAUCGCAUGGUGGGUGGUGGAAAGAUUUAUCGGUGCAGGAUGGGCCCGCGGCCUAUCAGCUUGUUGGUGGGGUAAUGGCCUACCAAGGCGACGACGGGUAGCCGACCUGAGAGGGUGACCGGCCACACUGGGACUGAGACACGGCCCAGACUCCUACGGGAGGCAGCAGUGGGGAAUAUUGCACAAUGGGCGAAAGCCUGAUGCAGCGACGCCGCGUGAGGGAUGGCGGCCUUCGGGUUGUAAACCUCUUUCAGCAGGGACGAAGCGCAAGUGACGGUACCUGCAGAAGAAGCACCGGCUAACUACGUG
Molecule: ribosomal RNA, 462 nt
Filed under: uncultured bacterium
Lineage: Bacteria
Description: partial 16S ribosomal RNA
Rfam family: Bacterial small subunit ribosomal RNA
Source: RNAcentral